UACGAAGGGGGCUAGCGUUGUUCGGAAUUACUGGGCGUAAAGCGUGCGCAGGCGGUGAUGUAAGACAGUUGUGAAAUCCCCGGGCUCAACCUGGGAACUGCAUCUGUGACUGCAUCGCUGGAGUGCGGCAGAGGGGGAUGGAAUUCCGCGUGUAGCAGUGAAAUGCGUAGAUAUGCGGAGGAACACCGAUGGCGAAGGCAAUCCCCUGGGCCUGCACUGACGCUCAUGCACGAAAGCGUGGGGAGCAAACAGG
RNAcentral lists this ribosomal RNA (253 nucleotides) under uncultured bacterium. RNAcentral describes it as "partial 16S ribosomal RNA". It matches the Rfam family "Bacterial small subunit ribosomal RNA", at positions 524 to 776 of the family's 1533-position model. The record is from RNAcentral.